This is a non-coding RNA of Ameiurus melas (black bullhead), 73 nucleotides long. The record is from the annotation of a GenBank genome assembly. NCBI's taxonomy places the organism in Eukaryota, Metazoa, Chordata, Actinopteri, Siluriformes, Ictaluridae.
GUCAGGGUAGUUCAGUGGUUAACACCUUGGACUACUGCUCGAAAGGUUGUUCGUUCAAAUCCCAGCACAGCCA